Molecule: non-coding RNA, 466 nt
Organism: Salvelinus sp. IW2-2015
Lineage: Eukaryota; Metazoa; Chordata; Actinopteri; Salmoniformes; Salmonidae
Source: RefSeq, a predicted model, not a curated record
CAUGACGGAUGUGUUGUUACCUACUCUUACCACCCUGGGGCUGUAAGGGAAAUCUGCCCUAUGUUUAUACAAGAGACCACAGGAAACUUCUUUGAUCAGAGGAGUCUCUGGGGGAAGGCAGCUCCAGCGUGCACGGUGGUCCGGGGGAGGACAGGAAGGAGAAAGUGCCCAGCCCCCACCUCAGCCAGCUUGUGGUCCUGACAGCCAGCGAGACCCUCUACGGCCUGGCCCAGAGGGUGGUCGCCACAGAGUCACUGGUGUUUCUGGCCGAGCAGUUUGAGUUCUUGCAGUCUCACCUAGACACCAUGAUGCCUACAGCCAAGAAGCCGUUCCUCCAGCAGUUCUACUCACAGACUGUCUCCACGGCCAGUGAGCUACGUAACCCAUAUACUGGGUGGUGGCGGCCAAGGCUUUAGAGUACGAACAGAUGCUGCUGCUGAGGCUGGAGUUAAGUGGAGCAUUAGGG